This 194-nucleotide unclassified non-coding RNA is filed under the name uncultured Glomeraceae. RNAcentral's name for it is "sequence contains ITS2". Lineage: Eukaryota; Fungi; Glomeromycota; Glomeromycetes; Glomerales; Glomeraceae. The record is from RNAcentral.
UAAAUAAAAAUCGAUGUGUCGCUUUUCUUGUGACGCUUCGGAAUUGGGUCAUCUUGACCUCUGGGUUAAGAGACCUAAAAUUGAUACCUUUCCGAGCAUCUUGGACGUACGUAACCUUUCAAGUGUUCGGAUCUCUUUAUUAGGUAUGACCAUGUUGUGCGUGGUUCUCGUACCUAUAACGUGUAUUUCUCAUA